AGAAGCCUGAAACAUGUCAACAAAAAAAUUAAAUAGAAGAAAACGUUCACCUAACUGCAACCAAAUCCCAAAAUAACAUUAGUUUUCUUCACAGAAACAGUGCUCCUGGCGGCUGACCAGCCAGGAGAUAGCCCUCCCUCCGAGAACACCUCUCGCCAUGACGUCUAUUCAUACUGGACGUCCCAGAUCUGACCCUUGACUUACCAUAUUUUAUCCCAUCCCCACCACCUUUUUAAUAGGGCUUUAAGCCGAAGACAUUUUUAUCUUUUCAAGUUUAAUCCAGUACAUAUUUAUUAAAACUAUAUUACAUAUUUGGCAAAAAAAACAAUUCAUUCCAUCGUAAUUUGAAUCAAAAUCUAACAAUUUACAGCGAAUUAUAAUAUAAAAAUUUCAGAAAAAAACAAAGAAUUGCCAAUAAAAAUCAAUUUUCGAAAGUAUUCUUUUCUUUUUGUACUUUUAGGGCUUAACGGCGGGCACCCAGAGUGUAGAACCUUGACGGCAGCUUGUGACUAAGGCUUUUUCCCAAAACAUGAGGACGAACAAAGGAAUGUAGGUCGAUACCACAUUAAAUCGACGAUCUAAACAAUGCCUGGUAACCUAACCUUGAAUUGAGCUCAGUUCAAUGUCGCGUACCUGCAUACCAACACAAAGAAAAACCGCGGAAUUUAAUUAUGUAGCUUAGUCGUCCGUCUGUCUGUCCGGAGUUAAAUAAGUUUCAGUGUCAAUUGGGAAUGAUACCAAGCCACGCUGGAGCAGCAAUGGCGUAAACUCUGCGCCUCCCUCGAUGGAUUGGAUGGGCGAUGGUGUGGCUUGUAGGCUCCAAUUCUUCAUGAAUUUUUAGGUUUAAGAUUUAUAUUCAUUGCUUUAGAAUUUUAGUCAAUUGUUUGGGUUUUUUUUCAAUAUUGUUAAAUUGUUUUCAAACUUUGUUUAAUUUUAAAAAAAGUUCAAUUUUCUUUUAAUUUUCAAUUUUUUGAAAACUAUUUGUUUUGUUAUAAAUUUCCUUUCAAUU
Musca vetustissima is the source of this 1009-nucleotide long non-coding RNA. RefSeq lists it as uncharacterized. The record is from RefSeq and is a predicted model, not a curated record. NCBI's taxonomy places the organism in Eukaryota, Metazoa, Arthropoda, Insecta, Diptera, Muscidae. The transcript is spliced from 3 exons.